AUGCCUCUCCUCCUCUUUGUGUUCACUGUCUUCACCUUACACGCCGCCGCCCCUGCAAAUUCUGCCACGACGGACACCAUCUCCGCCGCCCAACCACUCGUCGGCGGCGACAAGCUCGUCUCCGGGAAUGGCAGGUACGCUCUUGGCUUCUUCGAGACCGGCAGCGACUCCAACUGGUACAUGGGCAUAUGGUUCAACACAGUCCCAAAGCUUACUCCAGCGUGGGUUGCAAAUAGGGACGACCCGAUCAAGAACAUCACCUCGCUGGAGCUCACGAUCUCCGGGGAUGGAAACCUUGUCAUCCUGAACCGGUCCAGCAGCUCCAUAAUCUGUUCUUCUCAAGCAAGAGUCACAACCACCGACACCAUUGCUGUUCUCCUGAACACUGGGAAUCUCGUCCUGCAGAACAGCUCUUCAAACCCAUCAGAUGUUUUCUGGCAGAGCUUUGACUACCCCACGGACACAUUUUUGCCUGGGGCGAAGCUUGGGUAUGACAAGAUCACCGGCCUCAAUCGCCGCCUUGUUUCUUGGAAGAACUUGAUCAACCCGGCCACUGGAGCAUACCAUGAGGAGUUAGACCCCAGCGGCCUCAACCAGUUCCUCCUGACACCGCUCAACUCUUCCACACCGUAUUGGUACAGCGGUGUCUGGAACGGCCAAUACUUUGCCUUGAUGCCAGAGAUGUCAAACGGCUAUUUUAUGAAUUUUACAUUCGUCGACAACGAUCAAGAGAAGUACUUCAUGUAUACCUUGCAUGAUGAAACCAAGGUUAUCCGUAAUUAUGUGGAUGUCUCAGGUCAGGCAAAGACCAAUAUGUGGCUAGAAAGCUCACAGAAUUGGGUGCCCAUGUUUGCCCAGCCCAAAGCUCAGUGUGAUGUCUAUGCAGUCUGUGGACCUUCCACCAUUUGCGAUGACAAUGCGCUGCCAUCUUGUAACUGUAUGAAGGGCUUCACCGUUAGAUCGCCGAAGGACUGGGAACUAGAUGAUCGAACCAGUGGAUGCUUGAGAAACACUCCAUUAGACUGCAGCAACGGAAGCACAAGUUCGACGGACAGGUUCUACCCCAUGCCAUGUGUUAGAUUGCCCCAAAAUGAUGAUCAUAGCAAGCCAGCUGCUGCUAGUUCUGGUGAGUGUGCACAGAUCUGCCUGGGCAACUGUUCUUGCACUGCAUACUCCUUUGUGAAGGGCGAAUGCUCUGUUUGGCACGGCGAAUUACUUGACUGGAGACAGCAUCAGUGCAGUGACAGUUCAAGCACAAAUGGAGAAACUCUCUACCUUCGCCUUGCCGCCAAAGAAUUUCCCAGUCAGCAGGCUAGCAGAAGAGGAAAAACCAAUGUUAUACUCAUCAUCAGUGCAACUGUUGCUUCGUUAGGCUUGUUAGCAGCACUGGUGCUACUAAUCAUUAUUUGGAGGAACAGAACAAAGUUAUCUGGUGGCACACUGAAAAUUGCUAAAGGUGUCAAUGGUAUCAUCGCGUUCCGGUAUGCUGAUUUGCAACGCGCAACUAAAAGUUUCUCUGAGAAGCUCGGAGGAGGCAGCUUUGGUAGUGUGUUCAAGGGGUCUCUGGGUGACUCCGCAACCAUAGCGGUGAAAAGGCUUGACCAUGCUAACCAGGGAGAGAAGCAAUUCAGGGCCGAGGUGAGCUCCAUCGGGAUCAUUCACCAUAUCAAUUUAGUCAGGUUAAUUGGCUUUUGCUGCGAGGGUAGUAGGAGGUUGCUUGUCUAUGAGCACAUGCCAAACCGUUCUCUCGAUCUCCAUUUAUUCCAGAGCAAUGCCACAAUGCCAUGGCACGCAAGGUACCAAAUCGCCCUCGGAGUUGCUAGAGGAUUGGCCUACCUGCACGACAGCUGCCAAGACUGCAUCAUACACUGUGACAUCAAACCAGAAAACAUCCUCCUUGACGCUUCGUUCGCUCCGAGGAUCGCCGACUUCGGGAUGGCCAAGCUUCUGGGAAGGGAUUUCAGCCGGGUGCUGACCACGGUGAGAGGGACUGCGGGGUAUCUCGCGCCUGAAUGGAUCAGCGGCGUUGCGGUCACAACAAAAAUCGAUGUUUACAGCUAUGGGAUGGUGCUGCUGGAGAUCAUAUCUGGGAGGAGAAAUUCUUGGGCACCGUGCUCUUGCGGCGGUGACCAUGGUGUUUAUUUCCCCGUUAACGUUGCCCAGAAGCUUCUCGAAGGCAGCGACGUCUGGAGCUUGGUGGAUCACAUGUUACAUGGCGAUGUCAAUCUGGAUGAGGCUGCAACGGCUUGCAAGGUCGCGUGCUGGUGCAUCCAAGAUGACGAGUUUGAUCGACCGACAAUGGGAGAAGUGGUUCGGAUUCUUGAGGGGCUGGCUGAGAUCAGUGUGCCCCCGAUGCCAAGGCUGCUUCAAGCUAUGAGUGGCAGAGGAAGUUCGCAUUCGACAUGUUCCUAA
This 2412-nucleotide ribosomal RNA is filed under the name Triticum aestivum (bread wheat). RNAcentral describes it as "partial small subunit ribosomal RNA". The record is from RNAcentral. Lineage: Eukaryota; Viridiplantae; Streptophyta; Magnoliopsida; Poales; Poaceae.